UGCCAGCCGCCGCGGUAAUACGGAGGGUGCAAGCGUUGUCCGGAUUUAUUGGGUUUAAAGGGUGCGCAGGCGGAAUGAUUAGUCAGUGGUGAAAUCCUACAGCUCAACUGUAGAACUGCCAUUGAUACUGAAGUUCUUGAAUGUAGUUGAGGUAGGCGGAAUGUGUUGUGUAGCGGUGAAAUGCAUAGAUAUGACACAGAACGCCAAUUGCGAAGGCAGCUUACUAAGCUACGAUUGACGCUGAGGCACGAAAGCGUGGGGAGCAAACAGGAUUAGAUA
RNAcentral lists this ribosomal RNA (279 nucleotides) under uncultured bacterium. RNAcentral's name for it is "partial 16S ribosomal RNA". It matches the Rfam family "Bacterial small subunit ribosomal RNA", at positions 506 to 784 of the family's 1533-position model. The record is from RNAcentral.